AGUGAACGCUGGCGGUAGGCCUAACACAUGCAAGUCGAACGGCAGCACAGUAAGAGCUUGCUCUUACGGGUGGCGAGUGGCGGACGGGUGAGGAAUACAUCGGAAUCUACUUUUUCGUGGGGGAUAACGUAGGGAAACUUACGCUAAUACCGCAUACGACCUACGGGUGAAAGCAGGGGAUCUUCGGACCUUGCGCGAUUGAAUGAGCCGAUGUCGGAUUAGCUAGUUGGCGGGGUAAAGGCCCACCAAGGCGACGAUCCGUAGCUGGUCUGAGGGGAUGAUCAGCCACACUGGAACUGAGACACGGUCCAGACUCCUACGGGAGGCAGCAGUGGGGAAUAUUGGACAAUGGGCGCAAGCCUGAUCCAGCCAUACCGCGUGGGUGAAGAAGGCCUUCGGGUUGUAAAGCCCUUUUGUUGGGAAAGAAAAGCAGCAGGAUAAUACCCCGCUGUUCUGACGGUACCCAAAGAAUAAGCACCGGCUAACUUCGUG
Molecule: ribosomal RNA, 492 nt
Filed under: uncultured bacterium
Lineage: Bacteria
Description: partial 16S ribosomal RNA
Rfam family: Bacterial small subunit ribosomal RNA
Source: RNAcentral